CUUUCAAGUCCUUUUUUCUUUUUUCUGUUUUCCUGGUACUUGCUAAGUGGGACCUGCCUCGCCAUCAAAUACAGGGUUUUGAUUGAACACGACAUGACUGUCAGCCGUGUUUCUGAAAAGACUAGCAGGGCUUGGCUCCCAAGUCACUAUACAGGGGUAUAACUUCAGAGCAUUUCCGAGACAGUGAAAGUGCCAGGCACGGCAUGGAGUCAACUGUAAGGGCCGCUCAACAAGCACGUACUGCUCACAGGGCGAAAGGGCAGAAGGUGGAGAGGAGCCCAGGGUGCUCUUACCAAAAGCAACUGAAGAGUUCUUGCUUUAUGUGCCCCCGCCACACGGAAGGCAACCUGGGCCCCAAACCCGGCAACAAAAAGGCAGCCCAGGUAGGCUCAUUCCUGCCCUGGAGUGAACGAGAAUCCCUCCGGCACUGGAGGGGCCUGGCAGUCCCGGCAAGCGGAGCAGACUGGGAGCCCCGCUGGUGAAAAAAAGUACAGCCGAGGGAAAUGCUCUCCUUUUCUGCAGAGCCUGGGACGCUCAUCCCCACCAGAGACACUGGGCUGGGGGGUGGUGCUGGCAAGAGGGGCUCUGACACCACGAGAAGCCUGGCCCAGGAAGCCUCUUUGUCCCCAUGGGCCUGAAACUCCAUUCCCCCACCCAGAGACAGGGAUAGCCAGGUGACAGUGACAGUGACAAAAGAGAUCCUGCCUCAGCAAGUGCCUGGCCUAACGAGCCUCUUUGUCCCCAUGGGCCUGAAACUCCAUUCCCCCACCCAGAGACAGGGAUAGCCAGGUGACAGCAACAAGAGAGAUCCUGCCUCAGCAAGUGCCUGGCCUAACAAGCCUGUCUGUCCCCAUGGGCCUGAGACUCCCCUACCCAACUAAGAGACACCCAGCAGCCCCAGUCUGGGGAAACCCCUUCCCCUGCGACAGGCAGCACCAACAGGGGCCUAUGGGAGCCCCAGCAGCACCAGAUAACCAAACAGGCCCAAAUAACAUUGCAAAGGCUGAAAAUUAAACUGUCAUUGAAACCACAGCCCAGCAAAGUAGGC
Molecule: long non-coding RNA, 1048 nt
Filed under: Equus asinus (donkey)
Lineage: Eukaryota; Metazoa; Chordata; Mammalia; Perissodactyla; Equidae
Description: lncRNA (ENSEASG00005032189.1)
Source: RNAcentral